CGGGCGACCGGCGCACGGGUGAGUAACGCGUAUGCAACUUACCUAUCAGGAGGGGAUAACCCGGCGAAAGUCGGACUAAUACCGCAUGAAGCAGGGGCCCCGCAUGGGGAUAUUUGCUAAAGAUUCAUCGCUGAUAGAUAGGCAUGCGUUCCAUUAGGCAGUUGGCGGGGUAACGGCCCACCAAACCGACGAUGGAUAGGGGUUCUGAGAGGAACGGUCCCCCACAUUGGUACUGAGACACGGACCAAACUCCUACGGGAGGCAGCAG
Molecule: ribosomal RNA, 268 nt
Filed under: uncultured bacterium
Lineage: Bacteria
Description: partial 16S ribosomal RNA
Rfam family: Bacterial small subunit ribosomal RNA
Source: RNAcentral